UACGGGGGGGGCAAGCGUUGUUCGGAAUUACUGGGCGUAAAGGGCUCGUAGGCGGCCAACUAAGUCAGACGUGAAAUCCCUCGGCUUAACCGGGGAACUGCGUCUGAUACUGGAUGGCUUGAGGUUGGGAGAGGGAUGCGGAAUUCCCGGUGUAGAGGUGAAAUUCGUAGAUAUCGGGAGGAACACCGGUGGCGAAGGCGGCGACCUGGGUAGAUACUGACGCUGAGGCGCGAAAGCGUGGGGAGCAAACAGG
This 253-nucleotide ribosomal RNA is filed under the name uncultured bacterium. RNAcentral describes it as "partial 16S ribosomal RNA". It matches the Rfam family "Bacterial small subunit ribosomal RNA", at positions 524 to 776 of the family's 1533-position model. The record is from RNAcentral.